This 372-nucleotide transfer-messenger RNA is filed under the name Mycolicibacterium fluoranthenivorans. RNAcentral's name for it is "Mycobacterium fluoranthenivorans Standard tmRNA". It matches the Rfam family "transfer-messenger RNA". From Rfam's summary of the family: Bacterial tmRNA, also known as 10Sa RNA or SsrA, is named for its dual tRNA and mRNA-like properties. The record is from RNAcentral. Lineage: Bacteria; Bacillati; Actinomycetota; Actinomycetes; Mycobacteriales; Mycobacteriaceae.
GGGGCUGAACGGUUUCGACUUCGCGCAUCGAAUCAAGGGAAGCGUGCCGGUGCAGGCAAGAGACCACCGUAAGCGUCGUUGCAACCAAUUAAGCGCCGAUUCCAAUCAGCGCGACUACGCCCUCGCUGCCUAAGUAGCGACUGCGUGUCUGUCAGACCGGGAGCGCCCUCGGCCCGGACCCUGGCAUCAGCUAGAGGGACCCACCCACGGGUUCGGUCGCGGGACCCGUGGGGACACCAAACAGCGACUGGGAUCGUCAUCUCGGCUUGUCUGCGUGACCGAGAGAUCCGAGUAGAGGCAUAGCGGACUGCGCACGGAGAAGUCUUGAGGGAAUGCCGUAGGACCCGGGUUCAAUUCCCGGCAGCUCCACAA